This is a long non-coding RNA of Solanum stenotomum, 329 nucleotides long. RefSeq lists it as uncharacterized. The transcript is spliced from 3 exons. The record is from RefSeq and is a predicted model, not a curated record. Lineage: Eukaryota; Viridiplantae; Streptophyta; Magnoliopsida; Solanales; Solanaceae.
GAAGAAACCCAAAAAGCUUACACUUUGGGAAAGCUUCAUUGAUCAUGUUGGAAUAUAUAUUGCGGAACAACUUAAUCAAUAUCCAAUCAUCCUGGCCAGAAAAAUUGCAAAAUCAAAAUCAUAUGCAGGAUUAACAAGCAGGUUUGCCACAACAAUUCAAAUCAAUCCUCCAUACUCACAGGUUGCUGCACUCAGAAAAUGGGCCACAUCAAAUGAACAAUUGCUGAUCGCAUACACCAAAAAGAGUAUAACUUCAACAGGUUCUCUUCAGCUUAUUCCUUUUGAAGAUGAGAUCAUAUCAAUUGCCAUUGGACAUCAACAUCUUCCGG